RNA transcript from Glycine soja, 2138 nucleotides. It is a transcript of the gene named villin-4-like, with no coding region annotated. Lineage: Eukaryota; Viridiplantae; Streptophyta; Magnoliopsida; Fabales; Fabaceae. The record is from RefSeq and is a predicted model, not a curated record. The transcript is spliced from 5 exons.
AAUCCACUCCUCACUUUCUCUUCUCUCGUGCUUUAUCCGUCCAUUCUCUCUCUCAAUCUCAUUUCUCUGCCUCUGCUUCCAUUUCACCGUAAGUUCUCAUUUCUCCGUACCUCACCGUAAGUUCUCAUUUCUCCGUACCUUCCAUUUCAUUCUCUCUUUACCUCUCCUUCGUGUUCAUUUCGCUCUUCUCUUCUCUUCUCCUAGGGUUAGGCUUUUCCAAUUAAGGUGCAUUUUGAACUCCAUACCUACCGAUUAACUACAAUGUAAUCGAUGUUUUAUGCUUUUCUUCAUUUUAAUCUACGAAUAUUAUUUGAUGAUUAUUUGUGCUAUCGCUUAACUCGUUGUUUAUGUGUAGUAGAGUUAAUGUUAUCCGAGUUGUAACAACGGAUAAGGAAGCGUGGAUUUCACACUCAGGGUUUAUCCUCCUUCACUGUUUUCACCAGUGGCUGGAACUAGAAUUAGUUUAAAUUCCAUGCAAAUAUUUAGUUUCGUGUUGCUACCGUUUACCGUGUUGAGUUGAAUGGAGUGUGAAUUUAGUUUGGAGAAAGAAAUUGAGGGAAUAAUCACUAAUGCAGUAGUGCUGGUUUCAAGUUAGUUGCGAAACGUUAAUUCGGAUAGUAGAACUUACCACGGAGCUUCACUAGUGGUUUCUAAUAAUUAUUUAUUAGUUUUUACGGAUAUUGAUGAUCUACAGCCUACAAAAUCCAUAAUAUAUUUAUUUAUUUAUGAGUUAAAAUAAAAAUGAGAAUUUGAAAGGAUAAAUGAGAGGAGGAAAUAGAGAUGACUUGUGUAAAGGGUAAAUGACACGUGUCCAAUUACAGCUGUAUCCCAACUCCAAAGGCAUGUAAGAUUGAAUGGUGAAUAUUAGCUCCUUUCAUCUCUUUCUCUGUGUGUUUUGUAAUUUGAUAUUGUUAGGCAAUUCUUUUAGAAUAGUAGAAUAUGAAUUAAUAAGGUUCCCUUCCAAUGGCAACUCUCCACGCAUUAGUGAAAUUUUGCACAGUGCAGUGCAAAGCCUAUGCUGGAAGCAAAUGUGAGGAUGCGUGUUUUUUUUCAUGUACGUCGGUACGUGUCACACUGCUUAAACUUGUGUCAAUUGAUGGCUACCAAAAUAUUUAGCUCUAUUAGGUAGGUAUGCAGAACGGACAUGGUGACAAAAGAUGCAAUUUUCUGUUAUGCUUUUGUCCAAUUUAAGAAAUUGCUAUGAAAAGGCAUUUGUGCAUAUUCAAAGUGCAAUUUGCUUACUUGUUUGUGAACAACCGCAAAUAUGUAGUUGCUGACAGUGACGUGCUUAAGAAUGUGUUGCUGUUCUUCUCUGCUUCUUGUGCACAUGAAUUUAGGGCAUUUUUUGAAAAAUUUAAACUAGUUAAUAGAAGAAUAUUAUGGCUGUUUCCAUGAGAGAUUUGGAUCUAGCUUUCCAGGGAGCUGGACAAAAGGCUGGACUUGAAAUAUGGCGUAUUGAGAAUUUUAAUCCAGUUCCUGUCCCAAAGUCCUCUUAUGGGAAAUUUUUCACUGGAGACUCCUAUGUGAUCUUAAAGAUCAAUUUCCGUCUUCAUUUUUCUUUGGAGCACAACUGGAAAAAACUCUAAAAACCACAAGCUCUAGAAAAAGGAAGCAUUUGCCAAAACCUCUAUCUGAAGCACAACUGGAUAUCAAUGGCUUAGCAACAAGUUCACCAAAUGUUCAUCAAACGCAAGUAGGCAAUAAAAUGAAGACAAGGAAAAGGAAAUGAUACUUUAUGCAGGAGCCCUGUUUAACCUUUUCCUAAGGCUUCAAAUUACAGUAUCCAUCCUUUUGUGAGAUUGAGAUCCCAUGAGAUGAUCGGCUAGGAUCUCGAUGGAUUUGUUUCCAUUUAGGAAGUAUUUUAAUGAAGUUAGACCAUUAGAAGCAGAGAGAUUCAAGGCGCUUCGUAUCCAGUGGGCACAGCAUUAUCUAAAAGUUAGAAAUCAAACAUAAGAUGUUAGGCAACUAUGUAACUUUAGGUUACUUAAUUAGUUUACAUACUUUGCAUUACAAUUUUUACAAUUGUUGUCUCAUUUUAACAUUGAAUAACCUUUGUUGAUAGCUAGUUUUCCGCUAAAACCUAUUUGAAAGCAGAAUGCAAAUGAUAUAUGUUGUGUGCUGUGUGGUUUGAUUUUAAA